CAGUGGCGAACGGGUGAGUAACACGUGAGCAACCUGCCCCUGACUCUGGGAUAAGCGCUGGAAACGGCGUCUAAUACUGGAUACGAACCACGAAGGCAUCUUCAGUGGUUGGAAAGAUUUUUUGGUUGGGGAUGGGCUCGCGGCCUAUCAGCUUGUUGGUGAGGUAAUGGCUCACCAAGGCGUCGACGGGUAGCCGGCCUGAGAGGGUGACCGGCCACACUGGGACUGAGACACGGCCCAGACUCCUACGGGAGGCAGCAGUGGGGAAUAUUGCACAAUGGGCGGAAGCCUGAUGCAGCAACGCCGCGUGAGGGAUGACGGCCUUCGGGUUGUAAACCUCUUUUAGCAGGGAAGAAGCGAAAGUGACGGUACCUGCAGAAAAAGCGCCGGCUAACUACGUGCCAGCAGCCGCGGUAAUACGUAGGGCGCAAGCGUUAUCCGGAAUUAUUGGGCGUAAAGAGCUCGUAGGCGGUUUGUCGCGUCUGCUGUGAAAUCCCGAGGCUCAACCUCGGGCCUGCAGUGGGUACGGGCAAACUAAAAGUGCGG
Molecule: ribosomal RNA, 546 nt
Filed under: Microbacterium sp.
Lineage: Bacteria; Bacillati; Actinomycetota; Actinomycetes; Micrococcales; Microbacteriaceae
Description: bacterial SSU rRNA
Rfam family: Bacterial small subunit ribosomal RNA
Source: RNAcentral